Non-coding RNA from Canis lupus familiaris (dog), 145 nucleotides. RefSeq annotates it as microRNA mir-8791b. Lineage: Eukaryota; Metazoa; Chordata; Mammalia; Carnivora; Canidae. The record is from RefSeq and is marked provisional. The transcript has a single exon.
CCUGAUCUGUUCAGCUCGGGGCCGCCUGGAGGCUGGGGUGUUCUUGCUGUCCUGUGCCCUCCUGGCUUCUGCCUGUUCCAGGGGGAGCGCCGGAUAUUGGGCUGUUUCCGGCACCCUGUGCCCCCGGGCCUGCACUGUUGGAAUC